GACGAACGCUGGCGGCGUGCCUAAUACAUGCAAGUCGAACGCUUCUUUCCUCCCGAGUGCUUGCACUCCAUUGGAAAGAGGAGUGGCGGACGGGUGAGUAACACGUGGGUAACCUACCCAUCAGAGGGGGAUAACACUUGGAAACAGGUGCUAAUACCGCAUAACAGUUUAUGCCGCAUGGCAUAAGAGUGAAAGGCGCUUUCGGGUGUCGCUGAUGGAUGGACCCGCGGUGCAUUAGCUAGUUGGUGAGGUAACGGCUCACCAAGGCCACGAUGCAUAGCCGACCUGAGAGGGUGAUCGGCCACACUGGGACUGAGACACGGCCCAGACUCCUACGGGAGGCAGCAGUAGGGAAUCUUCGGCAAUGGACGAAAGUCUGACCGAGCAACGCCGCGUGAGUGAAGAAGGUUUUCGGAUCGUAAAACUCUGUUGUUAGAGAAGAACAAGGACGUUAGUAACUGAACGUCCCCCGACGGUAUCUAACCAGAAAGCCACGGCUAACUACGUG
This 508-nucleotide ribosomal RNA is filed under the name uncultured bacterium. Its description in RNAcentral is "partial 16S ribosomal RNA". It matches the Rfam family "Bacterial small subunit ribosomal RNA", at positions 28 to 507 of the family's 1533-position model. The record is from RNAcentral.